Monodelphis domestica (gray short-tailed opossum) is the source of this 1105-nucleotide long non-coding RNA. RefSeq lists it as uncharacterized. The record is from RefSeq and is a predicted model, not a curated record. Lineage: Eukaryota; Metazoa; Chordata; Mammalia; Didelphimorphia; Didelphidae.
GAAGAGGGAAGGUAUUUUUCUGGGAGGGGGAGCAAAGAGCCUGUGCAGCUGAGACCCAUCUUCCUUCUGGAACCCCCAAAUACUUCUCCCCAUAUGUAACGGAGGAGAAAAACCAAUCCCUUCAGCCUUUUCCCCCUCCUCCUCUAUUUCAGAAUCUCCAUAUAUUAAGGAAUCAACUACUCUCACUCAGGAGAAUAUCACAGUUACUAAUUCUUGUUUAAGUUUUUCUGUCAAUGCCCUUUUUUAGCUUGUGAGUAAAAAACAUUCCUUAUGGAGGGAAGGAAAACCUGCCCUUUGCAUGAUCUCCAGUGCAAUUUAGAUACCUUUCAGCUUUUUUCUUUUGGGAAAGGGGAACAAAGGAGGACUGAAAGAGGCAGGCAUUGAACCUGAGUAAUUCUCCCUCUAAGUUCCAGAGAAUGUAGGAAAUGGACCUAACCACUGCCCCUUGAAUCAUUCAGCCAGAAUGUGCCAGGACAGGACUUGAACCCCCGCAGCCAUUAACCAACACUUCCCCUUUCAUAUCAACCACAGAAAUCAAAUAAUCUGACAUGUGAAGAUACGAGUUUCCUUAUCUAAACUCAAAAGACUUUGGAUUUUUUUAUUGUUUUGUUCCAAGAUUCUUUGAUAUAUGAGAUGGUCCUCUUCGAAAGGGGAAGGGAAGAUUACAGGUGGAAAUGAUUGAAAAAGAAUCAUCACUUGCUGUGAAGAUGACCUGAGAGAAAACAGAAAGGGUAGGUACCCCCACCUCUGGCAGUCUCCAUGGCAACCACAAGGCAACAAUCACAUGUCUGAUACCUUCAAUCAGAGCUUCCUGGACAAAGAUCUGGAGUGGUCCUAGGACUGGAAGCCUGUCCUUGCAAUAAAAGGGCUUAAAUAUUGCAAGCAAUUUUCUCAAAGAAAAAGGGUCUUGGAGAUCUAUACAUACAUGCCCAUGGGAACACACAGAUGAAUUAUUGCAUUAAAAAUGUGGAUUUUUUUUACCAUAGCUGAUGGAUUAGUCUAAAACAUCUGUCUCCUCUUCCCUCCUCCCUUAUAAUUAGAGUGAUAAAAUUCCACAGCCUAAAUUUACUUUUAUUAUCGUCAUUGAUUGAGAAUAAAGUUUCUC